CAUGUGUAUGGUUUCUCUCCACUGUGGAUACGUUUGUGACUUUCCAGGGUAUUUAACCGGUUGAAAGAUUUCCCACAUUGGUCACAUGUGUAUGGUUUCUCUCCACUGUGGAUGCGUUGGUGAAUUUGCAGGGUAUUUAACUGGCUGAAAGAUUUCCCACAUCGGUCACAGGUGUACGGUUUCUCUCCACUGUGAAUGCGUUGGUGCUGUUUUAGGCUCGAUAACUGGCUGAAAUAUUUCCCACAUUGGUCACAGGUGAAUGCUUUUUUCUCACUGUCAAUAAGA
Molecule: long non-coding RNA, 285 nt
Organism: Thalassophryne amazonica
Lineage: Eukaryota; Metazoa; Chordata; Actinopteri; Batrachoidiformes; Batrachoididae
Exons: 3
Source: RefSeq, a predicted model, not a curated record